Molecule: non-coding RNA, 30 nt
Filed under: Mus musculus (house mouse)
Lineage: Eukaryota; Metazoa; Chordata; Mammalia; Rodentia; Muridae
Source: RNAcentral
CAGCAAAAAGCCAUUCGAUCCACACAAAUU